This is a transfer RNA of Cavia porcellus (domestic guinea pig), 64 nucleotides long. It matches the Rfam family "tRNA". From Rfam's summary of the family: Transfer RNA (tRNA) molecules are approximately 80 nucleotides in length. Their secondary structure includes four short double-helical elements and three loops (D, anti-codon, and T loops). Further hydrogen bonds mediate the characteristic L-shaped molecular structure. tRNAs have two regions of fundamental functional importance: the anti-codon, which is responsible for specific mRNA codon recognition, and the 3' end, to which the tRNAs corresponding amino acid is attached (by aminoacyl-tRNA synthetases). tRNAs cope with the degeneracy of the genetic code in two manners: having more than one tRNA (with a specific anti-codon) for a particular amino acid; and 'wobble' base-pairing, i.e. permitting non-standard base-pairing at the 3rd anti-codon position. The record is from Rfam. NCBI's taxonomy places the organism in Eukaryota, Metazoa, Chordata, Mammalia, Rodentia, Caviidae.
GGGGAUUUAGCUUAGCGGCAUAAGCGCCUGCCUUGCAAGUAUGUGGUCGUGAGUUCAAUCCCUG